This 390-nucleotide RNase P RNA is filed under the name Bacteroidota bacterium. RNAcentral's name for it is "RNase P RNA component class A". It matches the Rfam family "Bacterial RNase P class A". Rfam says of the family: Ribonuclease P (RNase P) is a ubiquitous endoribonuclease, found in archaea, bacteria and eukarya as well as chloroplasts and mitochondria. Its best characterised activity is the generation of mature 5'-ends of tRNAs by cleaving the 5'-leader elements of precursor-tRNAs. Cellular RNase Ps are ribonucleoproteins. Lineage: Bacteria; Pseudomonadati; Bacteroidota. The record is from RNAcentral.
GUUACCGGCCGGGCCAUCGCUCCGGAAACGGGGAGGAAAGUCCGGACAGCACAGGGCAAUGCACCGGUUAAGCGCCGGGGUCAUCGUUGCACGGGCUAAUGAUACAGACAGUGCCACAGAAAAUAACCGCCCCUUAAAUGGGGUAAGGGUGAAAACGUAGGGUAAGAGCCUACGGCGGUAUUCAGUAAUGAAUACCGCGGGUAAACCUUGUAUGCUGUAAUGCCAUGUAGGUUUUGUUGAUUGAGCGGUUUCCGCUCAAAAGGUGAGCGGUCCGUUCACAUCGCCGCAAGGCGUAACAAAACGGGUAGGCAGCAAGAUCCAUCCAGUAAUGUAUGGGCCAGAUAAAUGAUGGCAUAGAAACAGAAUCCGGCUUAUGAGCCGGUAGCUUUU